AACCACUUCAAUCAGCCUUCUUAUGAGCUUACCCCAUUCGACUUCGCUCCCUCACAUGCCUGCACUAGGGAAUUUUUUACCUGGUGGUCUCGACACUAUGAAGGACGCCUGGUUGACAAGACUGCCUUACUCACUGCUAUCUCUAAUGGGUUCGACUCAUCUAUUUUGAACAAGAUUAAGUCGAAAUUGAACGCCAGAGGGAGUAAGUCGAAGGCAGGUUCCAGCGACUCUAGCAAGCCUCUUCCUCCACCAUCUAAGGUUGAACUACAGAUUGCUUCACGCAAGAGGCCUCAUUCAACUGAAACUCCUUCUGUUUCGAAAAAACAAAAGCCUGUUCCAGCCACUUGUUCGAGUGCUCCAGAUAAGGAUAUUCCUGUUCUCUCGACCAUCCCCGAACAGACUACCGUUGUUACUACUCAAGAUCUUUUUCCCAGUGCUGAACCCAUUACUGAUGAGAAAAAGAAAAAGAAGAAGAAGAAGAAAGAACACCAACCCACCCAAGAAAGUACUCCUGAGCGCAAGUCCUCUGAGAUUGAGG
This is a long non-coding RNA of Trifolium pratense (red clover), 538 nucleotides long. RefSeq lists it as uncharacterized. Lineage: Eukaryota; Viridiplantae; Streptophyta; Magnoliopsida; Fabales; Fabaceae. The transcript is spliced from 4 exons. The record is from RefSeq and is a predicted model, not a curated record.